This is a non-coding RNA of Acanthosepion pharaonis, 108 nucleotides long. NCBI's taxonomy places the organism in Eukaryota, Metazoa, Mollusca, Cephalopoda, Sepiida, Sepiidae. The record is from the annotation of a GenBank genome assembly.
GCCACAUCACGAUAAAACACCAGUUCCCUUACGAUCACCGAAAAUAAGCAACGUCGAACCUGGUCACUACCUAGAUGGGUGACCGCUUGAGAAUAGCAAGUGCUGUAA